GACGAACGCUGGCGGCGUGCCUAACACAUGCAAGUCGAGCGGGGUCCAACCAGUGGCAACACUGGGGAAGACCUAGCGGCGAACGGGUGAGUAACACGUGAGAAACUUGCCCCGGAGUUCGGGAUAACCCGAGGAAACUCGAGCUAAUACCGAAUGCCCUCUUCUGGUCGCAUGGCCAGACGAGGAAAGAUUCAUCGCUCCGGGAGAGUCUCGCGGCCUAUCAGCUAGUUGGUGGGGUAACGGCCCACCAAGGCAUCGACGGGUAGCUGGUCUGAGAGGACGAUCAGCCACACUGGGACUGAGACACGGCCCAGACUCCUACGGGAGGCAGCAGUGGGGAAUCUUGCGCAAUGGGCGAAAGCCUGACGCAGCAACGCCGCGUGCGGGAUGAAGGCCUUCGGGUUGUAAACCGCUUUCAGCAGGGACGAAAUUGACGGUACCUGCAGAAGAAGCCCCGGCCAACUACGUGCCAGCAGCCGCCGUAAAAC
Molecule: ribosomal RNA, 488 nt
Filed under: uncultured bacterium
Lineage: Bacteria
Description: bacterial SSU rRNA
Rfam family: Bacterial small subunit ribosomal RNA
Source: RNAcentral